This 1001-nucleotide long non-coding RNA is filed under the name Nicotiana benthamiana. RNAcentral describes it as "long non-coding RNA (NBEN_LNC021151)". The record is from RNAcentral. Lineage: Eukaryota; Viridiplantae; Streptophyta; Magnoliopsida; Solanales; Solanaceae.
AGUGCUAUAUCCAAAUCAACUUAAUAUUAUGAAAAUUUGGUAAAAUUUAUUCUACUAUUCACUUUGAAUUAUUUAAUUAAGCAAUUAUGUAUUUGCACCAUAAAAUAUUUCUGUCCAUAAAUACAUUUAAAAGCAAAUUUUGGUACUUUCUUAAGUGGCUUAGAUCAAAUUGUAAUAUUUCAUGUUAAUAACAAUACAAUAUUUGAUCUAAGUCACUUAAGUACAUUAAAAUUAUCUAUAUUUGUGUGUUUGUGAAAAAUAAGUAAAAAUAUCGUCUAAGUUUUGCCUCUGUCACUGAUUAUUUCAUGUUAUUAUGGACUAUGUUGUGCGGACUCUCCAAAAUGUUGUCAUAUCUGUGUCGAAUUUUCCAAAAAUACCCUACUUUUGAGGAACCGACACGCAUCCGGCGACAUUUUCGAAAAGUCCGAGCAACAUAGAUUAUUACCAGGCUUAUGUGACACAAGAAGAUAUACUAAUGGGAACUCUUACAGUGAAAGAAACAAUCCAAUACUCAGCUCAAUUAAGGCUCUCAAGCAACAUGACAAAACAAGAACUAAACAAGAUUGUGAACAAUGUAAUAUCAGAGAUGGGGUUAGAAGAUUGUGCAGAAAAUUUAAUUGGAAAUUGGCAUUUGAGAGGAAUAAGUGGUGGUGAAAAAAAGAGAUUAAGUAUUGCAAUUGAAAUUAUCACAAAACCUCAAUUAUUUUUUCUUGAUGAGCCAACAAGUGGACUUGAUAGUGCUUCAGCUUAUUUUGUUGUUCAAGCUUGAAAUUAUCACAAAACCUCAAUUAUUAUUUCUUGAUGAGCCAACAAGUGGACUUGAUAGUGCUGCAGCUUAUUUUGUUGUUCAAGUUCUUAAAAAUAUUGCAUUAUGUGAUGGAAGGACAAUAAUAUGCUCAAUUCAUCAGCCAAGUAGUGAAGUUUUUGCACUAUUUGAUGACCUUUUCUUGCUAUCUUCUGGUGAAAUGAUAUAUUUUGGAGAAGCCAGAAUGGCAGUUGAG